GACGAACGCUGGCGGCGUGCUUAACACAUGCAAGUCGAACGGAAAGGCCCUUCGGGGUACUCGAGUGGCGAACGGGUGAGUAACACGUGGGUGAUCUGCCCUGCACUUUGGGAUAAGCCUGGGAAACUGGGUCUAAUACCGAAUAGGACCACGCGCUUCAUGGUGUGUGGUGGAAAGCUUUUGCGGUGUGGGAUGGGCCCGCGGCCUACCAGCUUGUUGGUGGGGUAAUGGCCUACCAAGGCGACGACGGGUAGCCGGCCUGAGAGGGUGACCGGCCACACUGGGACUGAGAUACGGCCCAGACUCCUACGGGAGGCAGCAGUGGGGAAUAUUGCACAAUGGGCGCAAGCCUGAUGCAGCGACGCCGCGUGAGGGAUGACGGCCUUCGGGUUGUAAACCUCUUUCAAUAGGGACGAAGCGCAAGUGACGGUACCUAUAGAAGAAGCACCGGCCAACUACGUG
This 462-nucleotide ribosomal RNA is filed under the name uncultured bacterium. RNAcentral describes it as "partial 16S ribosomal RNA". It matches the Rfam family "Bacterial small subunit ribosomal RNA", at positions 28 to 507 of the family's 1533-position model. The record is from RNAcentral.